This 477-nucleotide ribosomal RNA is filed under the name uncultured bacterium. RNAcentral's name for it is "bacterial SSU rRNA". It matches the Rfam family "Bacterial small subunit ribosomal RNA", at positions 27 to 518 of the family's 1533-position model. The record is from RNAcentral.
GGACGAACGCUGGCGGCAUGCCUAACACAUGCAAGUCGAACGGAGUAAUGACUUCGGUUAUUACUUAGUGGCGAACGGGUGAGUAACACGUGAAUAAUCUGCCCUGUACGAUGGGAUAACAGCUGGAAACGGCUGCUAAUACCGUAUAUGACCACGCCGAGGCAUCUCGGAGGGGUGAAAGCGCUUAAGCGGUACAGGAUGAGUUCGCGUCCAAUUAGCUAGUUGGUGAGGUAACGGCCCACCAAGGCGACGAUUGGUAGCCGACCUGAGAGGGUGAUCGGCCACACUGGAACUGAGACACGGUCCAGACUCCUACGGGAGGCAGCAGUGGGGAAUAUUGGGCAAUGGGGGAAACUCCUUACCCAGCAAUGCCGCGUGAGUGAUGAAGGUCUUCGGAUUGUAAAGCUCUUUGAUUGGGGACGAAUAAAUGACGGUACCCAAGGAACAAGCCCCGGCUAACUAUGUGCCAGCCGCGGC